Molecule: ribosomal RNA, 253 nt
Filed under: uncultured bacterium
Lineage: Bacteria
Description: partial 16S ribosomal RNA
Rfam family: Bacterial small subunit ribosomal RNA
Source: RNAcentral
GACGUAGGGUGCGAGCGUUGUCCGGAUUUAUUGGGCGUAAAGAGCGUGUAGGCGGCCAGGUAGGUCUGCUGUGAAAACUCGAGGCUCAACCUCGAGACGUCGGCGGAAACCAUCUGGCUAGAGUCCGGAAGAGGCGAGUGGAAUUCCUGGUGUAGCGGUGGAAUGCGCAGAUAUCAGGAGGAACACCAACGGCGAAGGCAGCUCGCUGGGACGGUACUGACGCUAAGGCGCGAAAGCGUGGGGAGCGAACAGG